CGGUAAUUCCAGCUCCAAUAGCGUAUAUUAAAGUUGUUGCUGUUAAAAAGCUCGUAGUUGAACUUCUGACAGCGAGCAGGUUUGGCUUUGGCCAGCCUGUUCGUUGUCAUCCGUCUGCAAACCUUGUACGUCCUUCAGUGGUUCGGCAAGGGGAGUAGACAAUUUACUUUGAAAAAAUUAGAGUGUUCAAAGCAGGUAUUAGCCUGAAUACUUUAGCAUGGAAUAAUGGAAUACGACUCUUGUCUAUUUAUGUUGGUUAUUAGACUUGAGUAAUGAUUAAUAGGGACAGUUGAAGGCAUUGGUACUUAAUUGUCAGAGGUGAAAUUCAUGGAUUUAUUAAAGACUAACUAAUGCGAAAGCAUUUGCCAAGGAUGUUUUCAUUAAUCAAGAACGAAAGUUCGAGGAUAGACAGCGAUCAGACCCCACUUUAUUUCGAACUAUAAACUAU
Molecule: ribosomal RNA, 448 nt
Filed under: uncultured eukaryote
Lineage: Eukaryota
Description: bacterial SSU rRNA
Rfam family: Eukaryotic small subunit ribosomal RNA
Source: RNAcentral